RNAcentral lists this ribosomal RNA (245 nucleotides) under uncultured bacterium. RNAcentral's name for it is "partial 16S ribosomal RNA". It matches the Rfam family "Bacterial small subunit ribosomal RNA", at positions 524 to 768 of the family's 1533-position model. The record is from RNAcentral.
AACGUAGGAGGCAAGCGUUAUCCGGAUUUACUGGGCGUAAAGCGCAUGCAGGCGGUUCGGAAAGUUGGAUGUGAAAGCUCCCGGCUUAACUGGGAGAGGUCGUUCAAUACUUCCGGACUAGAGGAUGUGAGAGGAAAGUGGAAUUCCGAGUGUAGUGGUGAAAUGCGUAGAUAUUCGGAGGAACACCAGUGGCGAAAGCGACUUUCUGGCACAUAUCUGACGCUCAGAUGCGAAAGCUAGGGUAG